GUUCCAGAAGGUAUAGCUCUCGCCUCAGUUUUUUUUUUUGUUUGAAAUCGGAGACUGUUCCAAUUUCCUACUGAGAUAGGCAAGCGGAGGGAGAACUAGACGUAUCUUGCUAGGCAAAGACAGGUUAGAAUGGAUAGCUCGCGGGUGGGAUUGACGGGAUAGAUCACUAUUGCAGAAGGAGGUAGAACCGGGGGAAGAAUUAUGGCUAUAAAGGUCCUCGCCCUCUUAGGCACAUGGUUCUAAAGAUUAGGCAGAAGAAGAACUAGAACUAGAAUUCUUCGCCCCUCCCCUUGUACCAAGAAGCCAGUUCAGAACAUAAGGAUAAUGGGCUCGUCUAUUAUAAGUUAUUAGUUUACGGAGCUAUCUCAGAUAUCUCGAGUAAGGAGACGGGAUAGUUAGAGUUCUAUUUCUAGGAAGGAAGAGACUAUCGGGAAGCUCACUCUCGGCCGGGCUCGAAGCAGAAGGUAGAACGUAAUAUCUCUUGUUGGUUCAGCUCAUCAAGCUAUUACAAAAGAGUCCAGCGGAGACAAAGAAAGAAGCCAUUUUUACGGUAUUUUCGCUUCCAGUCCGGAUCCAUCCUAAACCAAAGAGCGGGGCUAAGCGAGGGGCAUAGCGAUACAGUGUUCAUACUCGAGUUGCUCAAAUCCAGUAGGAAUAUCAGGAAUAGUAGGAUCUAGUAGGAGCUUGCCUUGGAAUGCAGUGAGGGAGCCCGGAGCUAUUGAAUUAUUUCAUAACCCAAGGAGAAGAAUAGGACUCUUUACCAGUAUCAUAACCUCUCGAUGGGAAAUGGAACUUAGAUCACGAUGUGAACCUACUUAUGAGUGGAAUUUCGUUGACAAGCAAAUUCCCCGGGAAAACUCACUUUUCUCCAAUUGAGAUGCUUUCUUCAUUUAUGGAUUCUAUGCGAGAUUCGGUUAGUGUGAAGUGUGAUCCUGGCUCAGAAGGAAAAGCUAUAUGCNNN
RNAcentral lists this long non-coding RNA (961 nucleotides) under Nicotiana benthamiana. RNAcentral describes it as "long non-coding RNA (NBEN_LNC022948)". The record is from RNAcentral. Lineage: Eukaryota; Viridiplantae; Streptophyta; Magnoliopsida; Solanales; Solanaceae.